RNAcentral lists this ribosomal RNA (490 nucleotides) under uncultured bacterium. RNAcentral describes it as "partial 16S ribosomal RNA". It matches the Rfam family "Bacterial small subunit ribosomal RNA", at positions 30 to 507 of the family's 1533-position model. The record is from RNAcentral.
AUUGAACGCUGGCGGCAGGCCUAACACAUGCAAGUCGAACGGUAACAGGAAGCAGCUUGCUGCUUCGCUGACGAGUGGCGGACGGGUGAGUAAUGUCUGGGAAGCUGCCUGAUGGAGUGGGAUAACUACUGGAAACGGUAGCUAAUACCGCAUAAUGUCGCAAGACCAAAGAGGGGGACCUUCGGGCCUCUUGCCAUCGGAUGUGCCCAGAUGGGAUUAGCUUGUUGGUGGGGUAACGGCUCACCAAGGCGACGAUCCCUAGCUGGUCUGAGAGGAUGACCAGCCACACUGGAACUGAGACACGGUCCAGACUCCUACGGGAGGCAGCAGUGGGGAAUAUUGCACAAUGGGCGCAAGCCUGAUGCAGCCGUGCCGCGUGUAUGAAGAAGGCCUUCGGGUUGUAAAGUACUUUCAGCGGGGAGGAAGGGAGUAAAGUUAAUACCUUUGCUCAUUGACGUUACCCGCAGAAGAAGCACCGGCUAACUCCGUG